GUCAUUAACCUUAUCAUUUAGAGGAAGGAGAAGUCGUAACAAGGUUUCCGUAGGUGAACCUGCGGAAGGAUCAUUGAACACACGAUCUAUGAAAAACUCUGCGAAUCGUUCUGUACAAAGAGGGAUCGUGCCCGGAGGCACGGUCGUCGGUGCCCGAGUCGAGAUUCAUGUGCGUCAGCCUUGAUCGUCCCGUUUGGUGCGCGGCGGGAUCGAGUGGC
RNAcentral lists this ribosomal RNA (218 nucleotides) under Cyclolejeunea peruviana. RNAcentral describes it as "partial 18S ribosomal RNA". The stretch from base 1 to 76 matches the Rfam family "Eukaryotic small subunit ribosomal RNA", at positions 1756 to 1831 of the family's 1831-position model. The record is from RNAcentral. Lineage: Eukaryota; Viridiplantae; Streptophyta; Jungermanniopsida; Porellales; Lejeuneaceae.